CCUACGGGAGGCAGCAGUGGGGAAUAUUGGACAAUGGGCGAAAGCCUGAUCCAGCGAUGCCGCGUGAGUGAAGAAGGCUCUUGGGUCGUAAAGCCCUUUCGGCAGAGAAGAAGGGUCUUGAUUCAAAUAGGAUUAAGAUUUGACGGUAUCUGCAUAAGAAGCACCGGCUAAUUUCGUGCCAGCAGCCGCGGUAAUACGAAAGGUGCAAGCGUUGUUCGGAAUUACUGGGCGUAAAGCGCUCGUAGGCGGGAAUUCAGGUCGAUUGUGAAAGCCCAGGGCUCAACCUUGGAAUUGCAGUCGAGACCGUUUUUCUUGAAUACCUGAGAGGGUGGGGGAAUUCCUAGUGGAGAAGUGAAAUUCGUAGAGAUUAGGAGGAACACCAGAGGCGAAGGCGCCUGCCUGGCAGUGUAUUGACGCUGAGGAGCGAAAGUGUGGGGAGCAAACAGGAUUAGAUACCCUGGUAGUCCACACCGUAAACGAUGGAUACUAGCCGCUUGGGGAGUUAACCCCCUGAGUGGCGCAGUUCACACAUUAAGUAUCCCGCCUGGGGAGUACGGUCGCAAGGCUAAAACUCAAAUGAAUUGACGG
Molecule: ribosomal RNA, 588 nt
Filed under: uncultured bacterium
Lineage: Bacteria
Description: bacterial SSU rRNA
Rfam family: Bacterial small subunit ribosomal RNA
Source: RNAcentral